GUAGGUGGCAAGCGUUGUCCGGGAAUUAUUGGGGCGUAAAGCGCGCGCAGGCGGUUCUUUAAGUCUGAUGUGAAAGCCCACGGGCUCAACCGUGGAGGGUCAUUGGAAACUGGAGAACUUGAGUACAGAAGAGGAAAGCGGAAUUCCACGUGUAGCGGUGAAAUGCGUAGAGAUGUGGAGGAACACCAGUGGCGAAGGCUGCUUUCUGGUCUGUAACUGACGCUGAGGCGCGAAAGCGUGGGGAGCAAACAGGAUUAGAUACCCUGGUAGUCCACGCCGUAAACGAUGAGUGCUAAGUGUUAGGGGGUUUCCGCCCCUUAGUGCUGCAGCUAACGCAUUAAGCACUCCGCCUGGGGAGUACGGCCGCAAAGGCUG
This 375-nucleotide ribosomal RNA is filed under the name uncultured organism. RNAcentral describes it as "partial 16S ribosomal RNA". It matches the Rfam family "Bacterial small subunit ribosomal RNA", at positions 527 to 896 of the family's 1533-position model. The record is from RNAcentral.